Molecule: unclassified non-coding RNA, 357 nt
Filed under: soil metagenome
Description: partial contains 5.8S ribosomal RNA, internal transcribed spacer 2, and large subunit ribosomal RNA
Rfam family: 5.8S ribosomal RNA (bases 1-120)
Source: RNAcentral
GAUGAAGAACGCAGCGAAAUGCGAUAAGUAGUGUGAAUUGCAGAUUUCAGUGAAUCAUCGAAUCUUUGAACGCACAUUGCGCCCGCUGGUAUUCCGGCGGGCAUGCCUGUUCGAGCGUCAUUUCAACCCUCAAGCUCUCCGGAGUUUGGUGUUGGGGCGCCUGGGGCUUUUCGACCUCAGGGCCCUCAAGUCCAUCGGCGGGACCGCCAGGACACUGAGCGCAGUAGUAUUAUUUCGCUCGGUAGGAUCUUCCACGGCGGGUCGAUCUGGCCGCUAAACCCCCCAAUUCUCACCAAAGGUUGACCUCGGAUCAGGUAGGAAUACCCGCUGAACUUAAGCAUAUCAAUAAGCGGAGGA